AGAGUUUGAUCCUGGCUCAGGACGAACGCUGGCGGCGUGCUUAACACAUGCAAGUCGAACGGUAAGGCCCUUCGGGGUACACGAGUGGCGAACGGGUGAGUAACACGUGGGUAAUCUGCCCUGCACAUCGGGAUAAGCCUGGGAAACUGGGUCUAAUACCGAAUAGGACCACAGAACACAUGUCCUGUGGUGGAAAGCUUUUGCGGUGUGGGAUGGGCCCGCGGCCUAUCAGCUUGUUGGUGGGGUGAUGGCCUACCAAGGCGACGACGGGUAGCCGGCCUGAGAGGGUGUCCGGCCACACUGGGACUGAGAUACGGCCCAGACUCCUACGGGAGGCAGCAGUGGGGAAUAUUGCACAAUGGGCGAAAGCCUGAUGCAGCGACGCCGCGUGGGGGAUGACGGCCUUCGGGUUGUAAACCUCUUUCACCAUCGACGAAGGUCCGGGUUUUCUCGGGCUGACGGUAGGUGGAGAAGAAGCACCGGCCAACUACGUGCCAGCAGCCGCGGUAAUACGUAGGGUGCGAGCGUUGUCCGGAAUUACUGGGCGUAAAGAGCUCGUAGGUGGUUUGUCGCGUUGUUCGUGAAAUCUCACGGCUUAACUGUGAGCGUGCGGGCGAUACGGGCAGACUUGAGUACUGCAGGGGAGACUGGAAUUCCUGGUGUAGCGGUGAAAUGCGUAGA
This 681-nucleotide ribosomal RNA is filed under the name uncultured bacterium. RNAcentral describes it as "bacterial SSU rRNA". It matches the Rfam family "Bacterial small subunit ribosomal RNA", at positions 8 to 694 of the family's 1533-position model. The record is from RNAcentral.